UACGUAGGGUGCAAGCGUUAAUCGGAAUUACUGGGCGUAAAGCGUGCGCAGGCGGUUAUGCAAGGCAGAUGUGAAAUCCCCGGGCUCAACCUGGGAACUGCAUUUGUGACUGCAUAGCUAGAGUGCGGCAGAGGGAGAUGGAAUUCCGCGUGUAGCAGUGAAAUGCGUAGAUAUGCGGAGGAACACCGAUGGCGAAGGCAAUCUCCUGGGCCUGCACUGACGCUCAUGCACGAAAGCGUGGGGAGCAAACAGG
This 253-nucleotide ribosomal RNA is filed under the name uncultured bacterium. RNAcentral's name for it is "partial 16S ribosomal RNA". It matches the Rfam family "Bacterial small subunit ribosomal RNA", at positions 524 to 776 of the family's 1533-position model. The record is from RNAcentral.